GACGAACGCUGGCGUCGUGCCUAAUACAUGCAAGUCGAGCGAACGGACUAGAAGCUUUCUUCUCUGAGGUUAGCCGCGGAUGGGGGUGUAACAUGUGGAUAACCGACCUAUAAGACUGGGAUAUCUGCGAGAAACCGUAGCUAAGACCGUAUAAUAUUCUGAACCACAUUGUUCAAAAGUUAAUGACGGUCUUGCUGUCACUUAUAGAUUGAUCCGCGCUGCAUUGGCUAGUUGUUAAUGUAACGGCUUACCAAGGCAACGAUGCAUAGCCGACGUGAGAGGGGGAUAGGCCACAGGGGAACUGAAACACGGUCCUGACGACUACGGGAGGGAGCAGUAGGGAAUCUUCCGCAAUGGGCGAAAGCCUGACGGGACAACGCCGCGUGCGUGGUGAAGGUCUUCGGAUCGUAAAACUGUGUUAUUAGGGAAAAACAGAUGUGUAAGUAACUGUGCAGCUCUUGACGGUACCUAAUAAGAAAGCAACGGCUAACUACGUG
Molecule: ribosomal RNA, 497 nt
Filed under: uncultured bacterium
Lineage: Bacteria
Description: partial 16S ribosomal RNA
Rfam family: Bacterial small subunit ribosomal RNA
Source: RNAcentral